ACAGUCAAACGCAAAGCUGUGUACAUAUUCAAUCAUUAGUCAGUCAUUCCAAGGCUUGGAAAAGAAGUGGUUUUGCAAAAGAGUUCUUAUGAAGACUCUGUUGUGUGUGCAGUUCAUUAUGCAUAUGUAUUGUGUGUGUGUGUGUGUGUGUGUGUGUGAGUGUGU
Long non-coding RNA from Etheostoma spectabile (orangethroat darter), 165 nucleotides. RefSeq lists it as uncharacterized. The transcript has 2 exons. The record is from RefSeq and is a predicted model, not a curated record. Lineage: Eukaryota; Metazoa; Chordata; Actinopteri; Perciformes; Percidae.